Molecule: long non-coding RNA, 1711 nt
Organism: Vespa mandarinia (Asian giant hornet)
Lineage: Eukaryota; Metazoa; Arthropoda; Insecta; Hymenoptera; Vespidae
Source: RefSeq, a predicted model, not a curated record
ACGACGACGACGGACGCGACUAACGACGCGCGCGCGCAAAACAGUCGUGCUUUCGCGCAAUGUGAUACGCUCCCGUUAUCCGAAGACGAACGCGCACGAUUACCUAUCGGUAGCGCUAAACAAUCACGAGGUCUUGCCAGAUAACCCAAGUCGUGCAUAAUCUAUCGUACCGGGUCUACUCUUUGAUCGUUUUUCUCCUACAUUUCUUAAGAGAAACUAACGACGAAUGAAUAGCGUUACGUAAUUAAUUCGAGACGUACAUGUUAUUACGGCUGAACCGAAAAAUGCAAGGAAAACUCGUUCAAAUGUGGAUUCGUCACGUAAUCUUUUUUUUACUUUCAAUUGCAUCCAUCUUCUAAAGGAACCGUUUAUUAAUUAUGGUCAAGGUCGGAGAGGCAAGAUGUUAUUAAUAAAUAUAUAAUAUCAGAGAAAAUAUGAGAAACGAAUGAACCAAUAAAUGUAUGUAUAUAUAUACUCAUAUAUAUAUAUACAUAUAUAUAUUGUAUAUAGUACAUAUAUAUAUAUGCUCUAUUGUGAAAGAUUAAUGAGAGACAACUAUAAGAAUAUCCAUUAAAGUAAACAAUUCUUUAGCAAGCAAAACUAAUCGUGAUAUCUAGUUACGAUGAGCCACGUAAUGGAAUAAUUUGUAUUUGUGUCGCAGCAGCAAGCGUACGAUCGAAAUUUAAGGUGGGAUUCUCAAUGCUACGAUGAUAACCACAUAAAACGGAUAGUUUAUUUUUAGGCUCGACUGACCAUCGAUUCACAAACGUUUCCUAUCGUGAAAAAAGAAUGAGAGAAAAAGAAAAAGAGAAAGAGAGAGAGAGAGAGAGAGAAAGAGAGAGAGACGUUCUUUCUUUUCCCGCCACAAAAAUAAUAUAAGAAUAUUCACAUUUUUUCGAGAAAGAUCUUCAACUUCGCAUUGCUCUCUUCCUCUCUCCCUCUCCUAUAUAGAACGACCUUUCGUAUUUGGCGCGUCUUUAAAAGAGUCAAUAAGGCGUAAUAUCGAUCGUUGGCAAUAUUGUUAUAUUUUCAGAUCGUGAAUAAUAAUAAUUAUAAUAAUGAAUCUAUUUGUACAUAUGAUAAAAAAAAAAAAAAAAAAAAAAACAUUUACAAAGAUAAAAUUAACUUUCUUAUCAUUCUUAUAUCCAAAAGCAAUAUAAAAAAAAAAAUUAAAAGAAAAAACAAAUAAAAAUAAUGACUAUUCAAAUAAAUAUUAAUAGAUUGAUACUUUGUACACACCAACCGAUGAGACAUAAUCGAACAGGCAAAAGUUAUUUCGAAAAGAAUUAGAAGAAUUGAUAACGAUCGUAUUAACCCGAUUAUAGAAUUACGAAUGGUACCGAAGAAAGAUACGCGAUAAGUUCAACGAAGAAGAAAAAUUCUUCCGUCUUUCUCUCUCUCUCUCUCUCUCUCUCUCUCUCUCUCUGUUUUUUUCCCCCAGAAAAUCAUACGAGACGCACGGAAUCGACCUCGAAGCGAGUCGGCGCGGCGUUCGGCGGUGGUUCAGAAGCGUAGGCUCAAAGCAUCGGCCCCGCGCGCGAGCGUGCCGCUUCCACGUGACGUACACGACGGCAGUGGCGGUGGCGGCAGCGGGCGCACCGACGCGACGCUAAGCGCUACCUUCGCCUCCCUCUCGUGCCAGAGUUCACAAUCAAGUAUGAACAAUUUGGAGGAAGGCGCGACGAACGUAUACAAGAAAAAGAGAAAGAAA